This 429-nucleotide ribosomal RNA is filed under the name Gemmatimonadota bacterium. RNAcentral's name for it is "Gemmatimonadetes bacterium partial 16S ribosomal RNA". It matches the Rfam family "Bacterial small subunit ribosomal RNA", at positions 355 to 776 of the family's 1533-position model. Lineage: Bacteria; Pseudomonadati; Gemmatimonadota. The record is from RNAcentral.
UAGGGAAUCUUCGGCAAUGGACGAAAGUCUGACCGAGCAACGCCGCGUGAGUGAAGAAGGUUUUCGGAUCGUAAAACUCUGUUGUUAGUGAAGAACAAGGACGUUAGUAACUGAACGUCCCCUGACGGCAUCUAACCAGAAAGCCACGGCUAACUACGUGCCACCAGCCGCGGUAAUAUGUAGGUGGCAAGCGUUGUCCGGAUUUAUUGGGCGUAAAGCGAGCGCAGGCGGUUUCUUAAGAAUGAUGUGAAAGCCCCCAGCUCAACCGGGGGAGGUCAUUGGAAGCUGGGAGAGUUGAGUGCAGAAGAGGAGAGUGGAAUUCCAUGUGUAGCGGUGAAAUGCGUAGAUAUAUGGAGGAACACCAGUGGAGAAGGCGGCUCUCUGGUCUGUAACUGACGCUGAGGCUCGAAAGCGUGGGGAGCAAACAGG